CAGUAGCCGCGGGAACACGGGGGGGGCAAGCGUUGUUCGGAAUUAUUGGGCGUAAAGGGUGCGUAGGCGGUUUGACAAGUCUUAUGUGAAAUCUCUGGGCUCAACCCAGAGUCUGCAUGGGAAACUGUCGGGCUUGAGUAUGGGAGAGGUGAGUGGAAUUUCCGGUGUAGCGGUGAAAUGCGUAGAUAUCGGAAGGAACACCUGUGGCGAAGGCGACUCUCUGGUCUGUAACUGACGCUGAGGAGCGAAAGCGUGGGGAGCGAACAGGAUUAGAUACCCCUGUAGUCCCUGUCUCUUAUAA
Molecule: ribosomal RNA, 301 nt
Filed under: uncultured bacterium
Lineage: Bacteria
Description: partial 16S ribosomal RNA
Rfam family: Bacterial small subunit ribosomal RNA
Source: RNAcentral